AACGUUUCCAUGAGUCGACGGCGUGCCUGUGUAUAUUGCUUGUUCAGUUUUAAUGACUUGAAAAGUUUGAAAUGAACGAGCAUACUUCUGUCAUGUUUCAAGAUAUCUUUUCCCGCACUUUUGCUUUUGUUUCUGGAAAGGAUUUUACUACAAUUUGCUCUGUCUUGUAGCUGUCUUAAUAAGCCAAAUUUCUUAGGUCACAUUGCUCCUAAAACAUCACCAAGCAGAUUUUUCUUGUUGGUCAUUUGGUGAUUAUUGGUAUGACCUAUAGAUUCUAUAUUGCAGAAUAGAAGCUUACUUUGAUGCCUUUGUAGUAUCGAGUGCCAGGGGUCAUGACAGGGAAGGAUAACAUGGCAUCAGAAACUGCAGUGCAGUCUCUUUCAAUUUGUUCGAGUAAGGAAGCAUCUGUGACGCUCAUGAACAUGUCACACAUUGCAUCAAAUGUCAUCUGCAUCAAAUCUAUUGAGCAUGCAGUCAAUUUUCUGAACAAACUUGGAUAAAGAAUUCAUAGAGAAAGGUUCAGACAGAAGACGCCUGAUUCUUCUGUGACUUUCAUGAGGAACACAUAGCAAGCUAUUCUUUCCUACUGCAUCUGCCAUUGAUUUCACAUAUCCCUUGUUGAACAGUGCAAAAUCAUUGGCAAAGAUUGUCUUGGCACCGUCAACACUUGGAACAUACACAUGGAUCUUGCCAAAUAUCCUUGUUUUGAACCAUUUCCCAUACCUAAUUUUAUCAGUCAGUCAAUCAGUACAUAUUUCAUGAAGCUACUUAGCUUCUGCAGUAAUUUUACCUUAAUCAGAGAGUUGGUGGUAAUGGAUAUCUCUACUGUUUUCUUUUUUUUCAUUUUUAUUUUUACUGUCUCUAAUCUUUUCUUCUUCUUCUCCUCCUCCUAUUCUUUUUUCUUCUGGUUGGCAUUAUACUACAAUUUUCAACUGCCUUUUUACAUGAUUAUGACAUGGAAAUUGCUCUUACUGCAAAUGAGAGGACUACAUAGGUUUGAGAAGAAAGGCAAAACAUAUGUACUUCAUCUUAGUCAGAAAUUGAAAAAGUUCAGGUAUUUUG
Molecule: non-coding RNA, 1062 nt
Organism: Coffea arabica (coffee)
Lineage: Eukaryota; Viridiplantae; Streptophyta; Magnoliopsida; Gentianales; Rubiaceae
Source: RefSeq, a predicted model, not a curated record